UACGGAGGAUGCAAGCGUUAUCCGGAAUUAUUGGGCGUAAAGCGUCCGCAGGUGGCACUUCAAGUCUGCUGUCAAAGACCGGGGCUUAACCCUGGAAAGGCAGUGGAAACUGAAGCGCUAGAGUGUGGCAGGGGUAGAGGGAAUUCCCGGUGUAGCGGUGAAAUGCGCAGAUAUCGGGAAGAACACCCGUGGCGAAGGCGGUUCUCUGGGACGGUACUGACGCUGAGACGCGAAAGCGUGGGGAGCGAACAGG
This 253-nucleotide ribosomal RNA is filed under the name uncultured bacterium. Its description in RNAcentral is "partial 16S ribosomal RNA". It matches the Rfam family "Bacterial small subunit ribosomal RNA", at positions 524 to 776 of the family's 1533-position model. The record is from RNAcentral.